UACGGAGGGUGCGAGCGUUGUCCGGAAUCACUGGGCGUAAAGGGCGCGUAGGCGGCUCGGUAAGUAGGAGGUGAAAUCCUGCGGCUUAACCGCAGGGCUGCCUUCUAAACUGCCGGGCUUGAGCACAGUAGAGGCAGGUGGAAUUCCCGGUGUAGCGGUGGAAUGCGUAGAGAUCGGGAAGAACAUCGGUGGCGAAGGCGGCCUGCUGGGCUGUUGCUGACGCUGAGGAGCGAAAGCGUGGGGAGCGAACAGG
This 253-nucleotide ribosomal RNA is filed under the name uncultured bacterium. RNAcentral's name for it is "partial 16S ribosomal RNA". It matches the Rfam family "Bacterial small subunit ribosomal RNA", at positions 524 to 776 of the family's 1533-position model. The record is from RNAcentral.